GAUGAACGCUGGCGGCGUGCUUAACACAUGCAAGUCGAACGAUGAAGCCCAGCUUGCUGUGUGGAUUAGUUGCGAACGGGUGAGUAACACGUGAGUAACCUGCCCUUAACUCUGGGAUAAGCCAGGGAAACUGGGUCUAAUACCGGAUAGGAGCGCCUACCGCAUGGUUGGUUUUGGAAAGAUUUAUCGGUUUUGGAUGGACUCGCGUCCUAUCAGCUUGUUGGUAAGGUAAUGGCUCACCAAGGCGACGACGGGUAGACGGCCUGAGAGGGUGAACAGCCACCAUGGGACUGCGACACGGCGCAGUCUCCUAUGGGCGGCAGUAGUGGGGAAUAUUACAGAAUAGGCGAGCGCCUGAUGUAGAGGUGCUGCGUGAGGGAUGCCCGCUUUCGGGUUGUAAACAACUUUCAGUAGGGAAGAAGAGAACGUGACGGUACCUGAAGAAGAAGCACCGGCUAACUACGUG
Molecule: ribosomal RNA, 466 nt
Filed under: uncultured bacterium
Lineage: Bacteria
Description: partial 16S ribosomal RNA
Rfam family: Bacterial small subunit ribosomal RNA
Source: RNAcentral